GCAUGUUAUGAUGAUGGGCAAAAUGUUCAACUACUCUGAAUUGACCGAAUGAAACUAGUCUUUCUGAGCAUCC
Molecule: small nucleolar RNA, 73 nt
Organism: Jaculus jaculus (lesser Egyptian jerboa)
Lineage: Eukaryota; Metazoa; Chordata; Mammalia; Rodentia; Dipodidae
Source: Ensembl